CCUACGGGUGGCAGCAGUGGGGAAUAUUGGACAAUGGGCGAAAGCCUGAUCCAGCCAUGCCGCGUGUGUGAAGAAGGCCUUCGGGUUGUAAAGCACUUUCAGUGGGGAAGAAAGCCUUGGGGCUAAUACCCUCGAGGAAGGACAUCACCCACAGAAGAAGCACCGGCUAACUCCGUGCCAGCAGCCGCGGUAAUACGGAGGGUGCGAGCGUUAAUCGGAAUUACUGGGCGUAAAGCGCGCGUAGGCGGUCUGAUAAGCCGGUUGUGAAAGCCCCGGGCUCAACCUGGGAACGGCAUCCGGAACUGUCAGGCUAGAGUGCAGGAGAGGAAGGUAGAAUUCCCGGUGUAGCGGUGAAAUGCGUAGAGAUCGGGAGGAAUACCAGUGGCGAAGGCGGCCUUCUGGACUGACACUGACGCUGAGGUGCGAAAGCGUGGGUAGCAAACAGGAUUUAGAUACCCUAGUAGUC
RNAcentral lists this ribosomal RNA (466 nucleotides) under Vreelandella stevensii. Its description in RNAcentral is "partial 16S ribosomal RNA". It matches the Rfam family "Bacterial small subunit ribosomal RNA", at positions 338 to 795 of the family's 1533-position model. Lineage: Bacteria; Pseudomonadati; Pseudomonadota; Gammaproteobacteria; Oceanospirillales; Halomonadaceae. The record is from RNAcentral.